UAUGUUAACAAAUUCCUUGCAUCUUUAAUUACUUGCUCAACUGCAUAGAGUAUCAUCUUCUUUAUCUGAUUACCACCACAACAAAGAGGAAAAUAAAUUGCUUAGGAGAAGGAAAUAAAAAGGAAGAAAAAAAUGGCACAAAAUGAAUAAAAGAGUAUUACCUCAAGUUUGUCUUCUCGGGCUCUAUGGUUCUUCGGCAGAAGUCUGAACUCCUGAGUUAAACGCAGGCACUCAUGAAUGUUUUCAGGAGAGACAAAGUCCACAGCUACUUUUGUACAUGACUGACAUGCAUACAACAUUUGUCAGAUAACUAGAACAAGAAACCAACUUGUUUGCGAAUGGCAACGAAAUUCAAACCUUGAGAUUUCUGACUUGGUGUGGGCAUCCAGCAGGAAUGAAUACAGCCUCUCCAAGUUUUUGUUCAAAGUUAAAUAAAAACACUGAUCAUGGAUCGGAUGAACGACCUGUGAUAAUAAACAAGCAUAACUGUUAGAAAACUGCCACCCAGAUAUCGUGCCAAACAGUAACUCUGAUUCAAGCAAGUAACCUGUUCUACUGGGGAGCAAUAUGUGUGCCUGAAUUCUUUGACGUGCUUUCUAAGAUAUGCCUCUAACUUGGGAACGUCCUCCCUUCUGAAAAUGUCCCACAAAGCACCGCCUGAUUCCUCUGUAAUCCCUUCUGUAUUAUUAUUAUUAUUAUUACCACUGGUGCCUUCACCAA
Molecule: long non-coding RNA, 720 nt
Organism: Pistacia vera
Lineage: Eukaryota; Viridiplantae; Streptophyta; Magnoliopsida; Sapindales; Anacardiaceae
Exons: 2
Source: RefSeq, a predicted model, not a curated record